This 460-nucleotide ribosomal RNA is filed under the name uncultured bacterium. RNAcentral's name for it is "partial 16S ribosomal RNA". It matches the Rfam family "Bacterial small subunit ribosomal RNA", at positions 338 to 795 of the family's 1533-position model. The record is from RNAcentral.
CCUACGGGUGGCUGCAGUGAGGAAUAUUGGUCAAUGGACGCAAGACUGAACCAGCCAUGCCGCGUGCAGGAAGACGGCCCUAUGAGUUGUAAACUGCUUUUGUACGGGGAUAAAAUCAGAUACGCGUAUCUGUCUGAAAGUAUCGUACGAAUAAGGAUCGGCUAACUCCGUGCCAGCAGCCGCGGUAAUACGGAGGGUUCAAGCGUUAUCCGGAUUUAUUGGGUUUAAAGGGUGCGUAGGCGGUCGGAUAAGUUAGAGGUGAAAUGCCGAGGCUCAACGUAGGAAUUGCCGCUGAGACUGGUCGGCUAGAGAGUAGGUGCGGUAGGCGGAAUGUAUGGUGUAGCGGUGAAAUGCUUAGAGAUCAUACAGAACACCGAUUGCGAAGGCAGCUUACCACGCUACUUCUGACGUUGAGGCACGAAAGCGUGGGGAGCAAACAGGAUUAGAUACCCGGGUAGUC